Molecule: ribosomal RNA, 439 nt
Filed under: uncultured bacterium
Lineage: Bacteria
Description: partial 16S ribosomal RNA
Rfam family: Bacterial small subunit ribosomal RNA
Source: RNAcentral
CUACGGGGCACUGCAGUGAGGAAUAUUGCACAAUGGGGGGAACCCUGAUGCAGCAACGCCGCGUGGAGGAUGACGCAUUUCGGUGUGUAAACUCCUUUUAUAUGUCAAGAAAAUGACGGUAGCAUAUGAAUAAGCACCGGCUAACUCCGUGCCAGCAGCCGCGGUAAUACGGAGGGCGCAAGCGUUACUCGGAAUCACUGGGCGUAAAGAGCGUGUAGGCGGAUUAAAAAGUCAGAAGUGAAAUCCUAUAGCUUAACUGUAGAACUGCACUUGAAACUUCUAAUCUAGAGUAUGGGAGGGGGAGAUGGAAUUAGUGGUGUAGGGGUAAAAUCCGUAGAUAUCACUAGGAAUACCUAAAGCGAAGGCGAUCUCCUGGAACAUUACUGACGCUAAGGCGUGAAAGCGUGGGGAGCAAACAGGAUUAGAUACCCCCGUAGUC